UACGUAGGUGGCAAGCGUUGUCCGGAUUUAUUGGGUUUAAAGGGUGCGUAGGCGGUUCUAUAAGUCAGUGGUGAAAUCCGGCAGCUCAACUGUCGAUGUGCCAUUGAUACUGCAGAACUUGAGUACAGACGAGGUAGGCGGAAUUGACGGUGUAGCGGUGAAAUGCUUAGAUAUCGUCAAGAACACCGAUAGUGAAGACAGCUUACUAGGCUUCUACUGACGCUGAGGCACGAAAGUGUGGGGAUCAAACGGG
RNAcentral lists this ribosomal RNA (253 nucleotides) under uncultured bacterium. RNAcentral's name for it is "partial 16S ribosomal RNA". It matches the Rfam family "Bacterial small subunit ribosomal RNA", at positions 524 to 776 of the family's 1533-position model. The record is from RNAcentral.